This 429-nucleotide ribosomal RNA is filed under the name Acidobacteriota bacterium. RNAcentral describes it as "Acidobacteria bacterium partial 16S ribosomal RNA". It matches the Rfam family "Bacterial small subunit ribosomal RNA", at positions 355 to 776 of the family's 1533-position model. The record is from RNAcentral. Lineage: Bacteria; Pseudomonadati; Acidobacteriota.
UGGGGAAUUUUGGAUAAUGGGGGAAACCCUGAUCCAGCCAUCCCGCGUGUGCGAUGAAGGCCUUCGGGUUGUAAAGCACUUUUGGCAGGAAAGAAACGUCAUGGGUUAAUACCCCGUGAAACUGACGGUACCUGCAGAAUAAGCACCGGCUAACUACGUGCCAGCAGCCGCGGUAAUACGUAGGGUGCAAGCGUUAAUCGGAAUUACUGGGCGUAAAGCGUGCGCAGGCGGUUCGGAAAGAAAGAUGUGAAAUCCCAGAGCUCAACUUUGGAACUGCAUUUUUAACUACCGGGCUAGAGUGUGUCAGAGGGAGGUGGAAUUCCGCGUGUAGCAGUGAAAUGCGUAGAUAUGCGGAGGAACACCGAUGGCGAAGGCAGCCUCCUGGGAUAACACUGACGCUCAUGCACGAAAGCGUGGGGAGCAAACAGG